Molecule: ribosomal RNA, 434 nt
Filed under: uncultured bacterium
Lineage: Bacteria
Description: bacterial SSU rRNA
Rfam family: Bacterial small subunit ribosomal RNA
Source: RNAcentral
UACGGGAGGCAGCGGGGGGAAGUCUUGCGCAAUGGGCGAAAGACCUGACGCAGCCAUGCCGCGUGAAUGAUGAAGGUCUUAGGAUUGUAAAAUUACUUUUCUACCGGGGACGAUAAUGACGGUACCCGGAGAAGAAGCCCCGGCUAACUUCGUGCCAGCAGCCGCGGUAAUACGAAGGGGCUAGCGUUGCUCGGAAUUACUGGGCGUAAAGGGCGCGUAGGCGGAUCGUUAAGUCAGAGGUGAAAUCCCAGGGCUCAACCCCUGGAACUGCCUUUUGAUACUGGCGAUCUUGAGUAUGAGAGAGGUAUGUGGAACUCCGAGUGUAGAGGUGAAAUUCGUAGAUAUUCGGAAGAACACCAGUGGCGAAGGCGACAUACUGGCUCAUUACUGACGCUGAGGCGCGAAAGCGUGGGGAGCAAACAGGGAUUUAGAUA